AUUCUUGAUGUUACUUCAACUUCUACUUUUUUUAUGUUCCUAAAGUAAAGUUACAUUGUUAAUUUGUAUUUUAUUAAAGAACUCAAAUCCAUUCACACGUUAAUUGUUCAACAAACAAUAAUCGCUGAACAUACAAACUGUAUACAGUAAUGCAACGAUCAUCUUUUCCUUAAUCAGUUACAUAGUAAAGGACAAAAGAUUAGUUCGUGUUGAAGGAGAACGUACGUUUCUAUGUAUAUAUAUAAUAACAUAUUAGGUAAGCAAUGUCUUUAAUAAAUUUUUUUCUCUAUACAACUUUCUUUUUUCGUAUUUUCUAGCGAAUUAAAUAUUGAAUAAACGUUCGUUUUUAUGUGUAUAAUAUCCAUGUGUACAGUGGUGUACCAAGAGUUUACACCAUUUUACUUCCUUAGCACCCCUCAAAAUCAAUUUUUCAGCAUUGAAUACUAAUUAGAUAUCUACCUAGUGUAAGGACACAAAUUUGUACACACUAAAAAUCAUUCAAAUAUGCCAUAAUGGUCUAAUCCCAUUCCAUUCUCCAUCAUUUCAAACUUCAACCUACAAUAAUUCUUCACCAUUCUUGCUUUUAAAAAUAUUUUUAACUUUAUACCUUAAGAAAACUCAAAAGCCAUACUACAAUCUGGUGUGUGGUUGCUAUGGUGUAUGUUUAGUCAAGUAUAGAAAAUAUAUGUUUUAGCUACUUAGAGAACUGAAUGCCUCAUGAAAUAUGUAGUCAAAAUGAUAAAAAUAUACAAUAAAAAAUAAAAUACAUAAAAGUUGCUAAUGUUGUGUUACAUAAUUAUUCUAAAUAUUUUCCAAUUGAUAUAAACUCUAACAUGAAGUUCCUUCAAAAUCUUAUAAGUGAUUCUGCUAAUGUUCCACCGCUCCUUUCCCUUAAAAACUUCUGAGUACCACCAUAUUCAGCCUGCUCUAUUGUUUCAUUUACUAUUCCUAAACGUUAUACUAAUUACAGUCCAAAUAAUCUAAUCAACUGUUAAGUGCACUCUACAGUGCGCCUAAUAAUACUUACCCUUCCUCUUGUUUUAAACUGAAUACCUAGCUUUGUUUCACUACUAUUGACUUUUUGUACUUUAUGUAAAUUUACCUACAAUAAUUGUACUUUGGCCCAAGCCUGUGUUUAAUAAAUAAAUUAAACUAAUAAUGAUGAACACCAUUUUAUUAAUUAUUGUUAAAUGACAUUUUAUUUACAUAUCACUGAUAUGUCAGUCUAAUUAUCUUUUAAAUUAUUAAUAAGGGGUUGAAAUGUCAUAUUUUUGAUUUGAUUACCAUUAUACAGGAUAAUUGUUUUAUGAUGAACCAGCAAUUUUCUCGAAGGAUUGUGAGUGAAUUUGAUUUCUGUUUCUGUUUUCAUCAUUAUGGAAUCAGUUAAGCUUUAUUUUAAAUCAUUUUUAAUUUUUUACCCUCUACUCCACAUUCCUUAAAUUUCUUAAAUAAGUUUAUGCUUGUUUUUAAAAUAGAACCCUCCUUUUUUAGCACAAAUUUGAGUACGAGAUAUUUCUUUAGAAAUUUUGUUAUACAUAACACUAAUAUCAGAUUUACCAUUUAUGAGUUAUAACCAUUUAAAGGUUGGAUUGGAAGAGUAGGGAAGAGUAAUAAAUUUCACAUCUAUUUUUAAAUGAUAAAUUGAUUACUCAAUAAUUAUUCCAUCAAGAAUUCAAAUUUAUUUUUUCCCAAGUGUGCAGUGCUAUAUAAUCAAGUUUUAAAUGAUGUUGAUUAUUUUUUUAUCCCUCACAAAUGUUUCUGAAGAAAAGCUUUAUUUAUAUCUACAUACUAAAACCCUUUAUUAUGUCACAUUAUUAUAUUUCACUACCUAAAUCUAGCUAAAUUAUUUUAAUUUACUUUAUUAAUUUUUGUAUUUUUUAUAGAUGGUGUACUUGAAUAAUAAUGCUCAAACAAUGGAAAACUUUGAUGUAACUGGAAGGAAAUAAUUAUACAUACAUAUACUUUAAAUUCAGUGGGUAUAUUGGUUAUUUGUAAUCAAUAGUAAAAAGUAAGUAUGAAUGCAUAUUAUGAAACAAUUUUUUUUACAUUUGCUAUUAAACAUUUCGGUACAUAGAUACAAUAAAGCAAAAAUAAAAAUAACCCCACAAAGUACAUUUACAUAGAAAAUAAUGUGGCUAUUUAUUGUUAUUUAUUGUAGAAAUAUUUAAAAUACAAUCUAUAUUAAUAAUUAAUUUAAAAUUUGAUUUUAUAAGUUUUAUAAAUUUGAUUUGUAUUGAUUAACUCAUUUGUGUUCGACUUUUCAAAACAAUUGCAUAAAUUAUGUAAUGAAUAUAUAAAUAUAUUAAAUAUCUUAUACUGUUCUACCAUUUCUCCAAAACACAUACUAUGUACAUCAUAUAUUCAUCCCCUUGCUGUUUUGCGUCAAAUGUUCUUUAUUCGGUUGGUCUCUCAGAGGGAUGACAUAGGCUGGGCAGCAACACUCCCUUGAUUUAAGCAUGUGUGAUUUUUUCCUCUGGAUCUAUCCUAAGGAUAAGAAUUUUAGAUAAGUUAUUGCUCCCAAAAUUGUUGGUAGAAAAGUUCUUCACAGAAAAAAAAUCUUAGUAUUUCACCAACUAUGUUUCAUACAUUUGCAUGGUUUUUCUCAGUUUUUUUUUUCGGAUUUUCAUAUUUGAUAAAGAAAUUCUCUAGAAAAUCGAAAAAUGGCUACCCUAAAGUACCUUCCCUCACCAAUUUCCUUUCAAAAAAGGUGCUAUACUUAAAAAUCAAAUCAAGAUUUCUGGUAGAAAAGUUGUUAGAUAAAAAAUAAAUAAUAAAAAAUCUUUGUAAAAUCAUAAGUUUCUAUGCUUAACUCAGAAUCUAAAAUAAUGUACUAAACUGAUUUCAAGAGUUUUAUAUUUACAUAUAAAUAAUUUGUAUAAACUUUAAAUUUGUAAUGUGAAAAUAUUGUUUCUAGGAGAAGAAGUCUAAUUUGAAACAUAUAAAACCACUGGCGCUCAAGACUUAAGACUUGGCCACAUCUGAAAAAAAAUCUGGUCAAAUCUAUUUUGCAAAAUGAUUUUUCUAAAAAAAAAAACAAUAUUUCAAUUGUAGCGCAGUUAUACUAAUUAUUUUUAACAUGCUAAUUAUUAAAAAAAAAAAAAAUUAAUUAAAAUUAUUAAAUCAAAAGUUAUUUUAAGUGACAUACUUUCUGUUGCACUUUGUAUGUAGGUAUUCUUGUUAUGUAUGUAAUAUGUAUAUAUACAUGUAUACAAUUUAUUGUGUAAAUUGUACUAUUGAUCGAAAACUACAACUUUGUCACUAACCCUAAUUUUAUCUGUACAAAUUAGUAUCAUCCCACCUUUAGUAAUUUAUACAACUGAUUUUAAAUUCGAUUGCAUAGUAAUAGUUCAUAAGAACACCAUUUAAUUGUAAGCAAUUAUAAUAGAAUCUCAAUUUAAUUUGAUGACCAACUUGAUGAGCAACUAACUUGCUCCACAUUCAAUCAUUCUUUAUUUUUGUUUUUGUUAUAUUUUCAUUAUCAAGAUAUUGAGCUGUUAAAAUAUAAAAAUAAGAAUAGUUAUUGGUUAUAUAAUACAUAAUAUAAUAUUGACAUUAAUUAUUUACAUAUUUUAUAAGAAUAUUAUGUUUUUGUUUAUUGAGCAAAUUCAAAAUAAUUAUAUUUUAUAACACAAAUUAAUUUUAUUGAUAUUGUAUUUAUUUUAGAAUGAUGUCAAGUUGGACACAAAAUAUAUUGUAUUUAAUAAUAAAUAUCCUGUAAUUGUUUAAAUAAAAAUGUUUAGUAGAAUCUAAAUCUUAUGAAUCUGUAUUUUAAUUUUAGAAUGUUAUUUGUUUAAGCAAUAGACAGUAAAAAUUUAUAUUUGUAUACAGGGCAAUCAGAAUUUUAUGUUAUAGCAAUUUUCCCCUAUAAAUAUUAAAAAUAGAGAAAUAUGUUUAAUACUAAAAUUUAUUUAUAAACACUUAAAAAAACUUGUACAUUUUUUUUAUUUUAAUGAAUUUUGGGUGUUCAUUUUUGAAAUUCAAAUGGAAACCCAUGUUAAAAAUUCCAUAAACAAAUGAAGUAAUAUUUUAAAUAAAUUUUGGUGUUGACAUUUUUGAUUUCCAUCAACCAUUUUGAUGAGAUAUUGAACUUUUUAGUUUAGGAAGGGGAAGGGUAGUGCAACACUAUUUAAACACCAUGCACUUUGCUGUGCCACUAUACAAGCAAUCACUCUUCCCCUGACUAAACUAAAAAGUUGUAUAUCUCAUCAACUGAUUGAUAGAAAUCAAAAAUGUCAACACCAAAAUUUAUUUAAAAUAUUACUGCAUUUAUUUAUAGACUUUUUAAUAUAGGUUCCCAUUUAAAUUUCAAUAUUUAACACUCAACACCCAUGGCAUAGACAGCAUUAUACUGUAAAAAAGUAUAUAUAAGUACAUACAUUUUUUUAUAGUAUAUAUUAUAUUAUAAUUAUUAUGGCUAUAAUAUACAGUGAGCUGUAGUUAUUACACGUAUUUCUGUGCGCAAUAAAUAAUAACAAUUUUAUUAUUAAGAGUAUACUAUACCCCCAUGUGCUGUCUCAGUCCAAUAGAAAGCGAUAUAGCAAAAUCUACCUUACACAGACUGUAUAAAAAUCGCUUAACUUUGCUUUUAGAGUAAAAGCACCUAUUAUAAAAUUAAAUGGACAAUGAUCUGGAGGGAAAGUCUGCAUUUUUCUUAUAAUUCUAAUUAUUAUUUCGGAUAUAAUGUUCAAUACCUACACAUUCUUUAGAAAUAAAAUCUAAUUUAUCUUUCUUAAACAACUGUAACUAAAGGAAUUUUAAAAAAUAAAUGUAUUGUUUUGACUUCCUGAAUAUUGUCGUCUUUUAAUUUUGUAAUAGGUGCUUUUACUCUAGAACCACAAUUAUGCGAGUUCUACGCAGGGUACUAGGGUAGAUUUUGCUAUAUUGCCUGUUAGACUGAAACAGCACAUGCUGGUAUAGCGUUCUCUAUGUGUGCUAGAAGUACCACAAAAUAGAUGAAGUUUUAUGUGCUAAAAGAAAUAUAGACUAUUAAUGAACUAGGUAAAUAAUUUCUAGCCUAAAAAAAAAUUAAUAAACAUUAAACUACUUUGAAAUAUUUGAUUUCAAUAUGUACUUUUUAUAAUAAAUAAUAUUUUGAAAAAUAAGUAUUUCAAAGAAAUAUUUAAUUUAAAAUUAAUUUUGAAAGGCCCUGUAUAAAUUAAAUAACAUUAAUAAAUACAGUAGUUAUGAGAGGCAGAGUCAAAAUAUCCAACAAAUAUAAAUGUAUUUUAUUUUGAAUGUUCAUGUAUUUUAAAUGUAUUAUUCAUAAUUAAGAAUGUUGAAAAAGAAGUGGUGAAUUGAAACAUGUAAAGAGAGUUAGUUAAAAAAAGAAACCAAACAGUACCUACUUACAUUAUACAAAUUAUUUAUUUAUACAUUUUAUUAUGUUAUUAUAAAUUAUAUAUUUUUUAGGCCCACAUUUGAAGAAAUAGACUGGUUAAAGAAUUUCACAGAAAAAGAAAGAAAAUUAAAAUUAAGA
Molecule: long non-coding RNA, 5476 nt
Filed under: Cinara cedri
Lineage: Eukaryota; Metazoa; Arthropoda; Insecta; Hemiptera; Aphididae
Source: RNAcentral